This 3876-nucleotide long non-coding RNA is filed under the name Mus musculus (house mouse). RNAcentral's name for it is "Mir100 Mirlet7a-2 Mir125b-1 cluster host gene". The record is from RNAcentral. Lineage: Eukaryota; Metazoa; Chordata; Mammalia; Rodentia; Muridae.
GAGGGAAGCCAAGUGGAUUCUCAGAAAAAGGGGGGAAGCCAUCAAAGAGCUAAAGGUGAUUAGAGGGGGAUAUCGAUUCCUUACUCUGCCAGAGGUUUAAGCAGGCAUGAGAGGAAUCUGUACCAUGGCUGGCAGAAAGAGACCCAUUGCCUCUUGUAACCAGACACUGGGGCUUUCCAGGAGCCCAGGGAGAGAGCCGAGAAGAAAGGGGGCAGUGUGGUCUAGGAAAAUUCAACUUGUCGCUGAUUUGUGCCUGAUGCUUGCUGUCCGUCAGCAGCCUCCCUUACAAGCCUUUUUUCCUCUCUCUCCUUUUUUUCUCCCCUUGCCUUCUUCUUCAGUGAAGCCUAGGGGAGCCAGUAAAGAUUAAAUGUGCUUUCUCAAAGGCAGCCACUUCAUGCUGCUAUGUCGAAAGGGCUAUUAUUAUUAUUAAUAUGAGAGAGAGAGAGGGAGAGAGAGAGGGAGAGAGAGAGACUAGGUAUGGUGAUGACGGUCUGGCUUUUCGGAGAGCAAAAGGGAGAGAAAAAAGGAGAGACCAUGAGCUGAACCAAGGACUGUGUAUGAGCUGAACCUACAGAGUCUGCACAGGAAAGCGCCGCUUCCAGGCAGAGGAGGUUCGAGAAAGCGACUCUAUCAGGUACAGCACUAGUAGCUGUCUGUGAAGAUGGAGGGGGAUUACGCCUCGGAUUCUUCUGAAAUAUUGGCCAAAGGCUUCAAAGGAUCCGCAGCGGGAGGCGAGGGUGGGGGAGCAUCUCCCCAGCUCGCACCCACCCCUUCCCACUUUGCGUCUACCAAAUGACAGGCUGGUGCUCGCUCUGGGUGAUUUUGGCCUUGGCCUCAGCCAAGCAGCUGAUGCAGAGGAGGGCCAGCUUUGCAAGACUGACAGAACUCUGAAUGCUAGAGAAAGAAGAAGAAAAAGAAAAAGAAUUUUUUUUUUCCGAGCAGUCCUUGGGAGAUUUUCUCGUUCUCUCUCGAUUUAUUUAUUUAUUUCUAUUUUUUUUAACCGACUAUUUUCCAAAUUCGAUCAGCCCCAGCCCCUCCCUCCACUCCCACCCAACAGCCUUCCCCCCACCCCCCACCCCCGGUCAAAGCAUAAACCACAGAGUUACGGUCUUCUUUGGAUUUUGGAGUAUCGCUUCCUGCCCCCGCCUUCCCUCCCCGCCCCAUUCUCUGUCCUAUUGAACACCUCGCCCAGCCUAGAGCUCACAUUCUCCCCCUGCUCCCGAUGGCGCUCCUGGAAGCUCUGCAACUAUGCUCCACUUCAAAUGGCUGGUCCUAUAGCCCCCUUUCUCAGUAAUGUCUCCCCAGUGAAAGGAAAAAGACUGCAGAGGCUUCAGACUGACGGACGCUCAUGCCAACUGUGAAGUUGAAACAAAGCCAGUGACCAGCUGAAGAGGCCCCUCCUGCCCAGCAGCCACCCACAUGGUGCAGUUGCAGCCAGUAGUAAUCUUUGCAAGAAGCAGAGAAGCCCAGAACACUCAUGAGUCAAAACCAUGCCCUUCCUUGUGUGUAUCCCUGUCUCGUUCAGAUUGAUGCUCCUUCCAUUUGGAUCCUGGUAUGAAUAUGCUUGUUACUGUACGAGUGUAAAAAGCUUUGCCCAAAUGUGUUAAUGUAUGAAGAGACUGGAUUUUUUUUGGGGGGGGGAGAGAGUUAUUUUUAUCAAAACACAGUGUUCGUUCUUGAGAGUGAUCUAGAAAAUAAAAAGCAGUUGGAAAAGACAGCAAAGCAGUCACAGGCGAUCCACAGAGAUGCUCACACCACCACACAGAAACACCACACCAUGCUCCCAGACUCUGAGCAGGGAGCUUGACUCUGUGACAUACUAUGGCUGCUGCCAGGGGUCAACGUCAAGCCAGACAAAGGUGCAGAAGCUUCCUGAAGUGUAGUGAUAAACUGAGUCAGGAGACAAUAAGAACAGCAACGACACAAAAGACAACGUCCUUGGAGGGAGCCAAGUGGGUUUGCUUAAGGAAGGAUGCUCCCUUAAAGAGAGAAUGGGAAAUCAACCUUUAAAGGAUGUAAAAACAAAACUAGAUAAAUGGGAAGAUAGGAGAAAAUAGAGUCCUUAAUGCAAGCAUAAGGGUAAGCAGCAGACGGGCAGAGGAGAUCCACAUGGUGAGUCUUGGAGACUACACAUAUCUCGUCUUGAUUUUGCCUGACACUUGGAACCGCUGUCUGUGUGUCUAGUAGAGAUGCUGCACACAGGUAUCUCCCCUCCCCCACCCCGAAUGUCACCUAAACCAAACUAGAACUAAAGUUCCAGUUCUGUGUCACUACAAAGAUUGGUUGGUGAUUCCUGAAUAGAAGUCAUGAUUCUUCUGUUCGUGAUUGCUUGUUACCAAGUUUAUUCCAUACAGAAAAUGUUUUGCAUAUUAAAUCUCAUGGUUGCUAUGAAAACGACACAUUAUCCACCUUUCACAGGUGAAGGAACUGAUUUUGGUGAGGUUGAGCGCCUGGCCAAGGUGCUACGUGCAGCUAUGCACAUUCAAGGUUGUGGUCAUGAAACUCAGUCCCUAGUCUGACUUUUGUGAUGAGUCCCAACACAGUUGUCACCUUUACCAUAGCCCUUAAUGCCUGUCUACAGAAAGACAUGGCUUUUCUGCUGACUUACAGCCACAGUAUUUCCUACUUCCAUGCUGAAUUAUACCAGAAUGAUAAAACGUAUUUUCAUGGAAGAAAAUUGAGAAUUUAGUGAAAUACACUGCUUGCCAGCAGUUUGUAUGUUUCUUCUUCAUUUUGGUCUGAGACUUUUGAUUUAGUUCUGCAUGAAAUCUCAAAGUUUUAAGAGCAGUAAGGGAAGGGCCUUAAGUUACCUGUUAUAGUACUUUGUGACAGAAGAUGUAAAUCUACAACCUGUAAUCAGAGUGACUUUACAAACAAACAACAAAAAGACACCCCUCCCCACAAAAACUCAAAUCAAACCAACCAACCAAACAACAAAAUAAACAAAACCGCCCACUUAAUUGGAAAUGUCCCAACAAAGACCAGAAACUAAGUCCUCUUUCAAUGGCUUUUAAAUUAUUCCACCCUGUCCUAAAGAAACAUGAACUUGUAUUUGACUAAAGGCACCAAUGUUGCAUAGAUUGGAUCUCAUAAAAUCUAGUUUCUUCCUUCCUUGGUACUCAUGUCAAUGUUAAAUACAGCUAUGAACUAGUGUAUCUAUGUCAAGAAGUUGUCAAUGAUCUGUCCCCAAAGAACACAGAAUAGCCAAUGUUGUAUAUAUACUCCUUCUUUAAUCCAGCCAUGGAGUCAUUAGUUCACCUGCACCAAUCCAAUCCAUUGUGCAUCUUCUCAACCAACCUGACCUAUGGCAAUCAUUUGCAAGUGCUAUAAAUGUUUAUCUAUGACUGUUCCAGAAAUAGUUAGGUAUUAACAAAUACCACUAGUCAUUUUGUGGUGUAAUCUUCAUUUAUCUGUAUCACUAAUUCAAGAAGACUUUGGCCAUAAAAACCUAGAACUAAAAAUCGCAUUCUUGGCUUUCAGCCACUCUACAUUUGAUUGACAUUUCACAGUGAUUAAUAAAUUGUCCAUCUAAAUAACAUAGAUGUCCAGAUUGUGAUUUUUGUCUUGAAUGAGACCGUUAAACUGGGUAGGCUAAGGGACAGAUGUCUAACUUUUUGAGGUACCUGGAUAUUUAACUGAUGUAAUUUUCUACUUAGCUGUUUGACAUUGUUGUAUGUAGUCCUGGUCAUGGCUUUGACUGUUCUCUUUUUUCAAAAUGCUUGUUGGCUCUGUCUUACACUGUUCUCACUGAUCUCAUAAAUAAACAGGUUUGUUGUUAAAGAGUAGCCCAAGCACAAAGUGUGAUGUUGUUGACAUUUUACAAGACUUUCCUUGGUCCCUGACUCCCAAUAAAAGAAAUGUUGCAUUAACUGUGAA